AGGAGGCAGCAGUGAGGAAUAUUGGUCAAUGGGCGCAAGCCUGAACCAGCCAUCCCGCGUGCAGGAAGAAGGCGCUAUGCGUUGUAAACUGCUUUUGCAGGGGAAGAAUGUUCUGUAUGCAUACGGAAUUGACGGUACCUUGUGAAUAAGCAUCGGCUAACUCCGUGCCAGCAGCCGCGGUAAUACGGAGGAUGCGAGCGUUAUCCGGAUUUAUUGGGUUUAAAGGGUGCGUAGGCGGAUUGAUAAGUCAGUGGUGAAAUACUGCAGCUUAACUGUAGAAUUGCCGUUGAUACUGUUAGUCUUGAGUACGGUCAAGGUAGGCGGAAUGUGUAAUGUAGCGGUGAAAUGCUUAGAUAUUACACAGAACACCGAUUGCGAAGGCAGCUUACUGGGCCGCAACUGACGCUGAUGCACGAAAGCGUGGGGAGCGAACAGGAUUAGAUACCCUGGUAGU
RNAcentral lists this ribosomal RNA (454 nucleotides) under uncultured bacterium. Its description in RNAcentral is "bacterial SSU rRNA". It matches the Rfam family "Bacterial small subunit ribosomal RNA", at positions 343 to 794 of the family's 1533-position model. The record is from RNAcentral.